GACGAACGCUGGCGGCGUGCUUAACACAUGCAAGUCGAACGAAGAGCGACGGAAGCUUGCUUCUAUCAAUCUUAGUGGCGAACGGGUGAGUAACGCGUAAUCAACCUGCCCUUCAGAGGGGGACAACAGUUGGAAACGACUGCUAAUACCGCAUACGAACUAACCUCGGCAUCGAGGAUAGAUGAAAGGUGGCCUCUACAUGUAAGCUAUCACUGAAGGAGGGGAUUGCGUCUGAUUAGCUAGUUGGAGGGGUAACGGCCCACCAAGGCGAUGAUCAGUAGCCGGUCUGAGAGGAUGAACGGCCACAUUGGGACUGAGACACGGCCCAGACUCCUACGGGAGGCAGCAGUGGGGAAUCUUCCGCAAUGGACGAAAGUCUGACGGAGCAACGCCGCGUGAGUGAUGACGGCCUUCGGGUUGUAAAGCUCUGUUAAUCGGGACGAAAGGCCUUCUUGCGAAUAGUGAGAAGGAUUGACGGUACCGGAAUAGAAAGCCACGGCUAACUACGUG
RNAcentral lists this ribosomal RNA (510 nucleotides) under uncultured bacterium. Its description in RNAcentral is "partial 16S ribosomal RNA". It matches the Rfam family "Bacterial small subunit ribosomal RNA", at positions 28 to 507 of the family's 1533-position model. The record is from RNAcentral.